Molecule: ribosomal RNA, 261 nt
Filed under: uncultured Bacillota bacterium
Lineage: Bacteria; Bacillati; Bacillota
Description: uncultured Firmicutes bacterium partial 16S ribosomal RNA
Rfam family: Bacterial small subunit ribosomal RNA
Source: RNAcentral
UAGCCCGAGUUGAGAGACUGAUCGGGCCACAUUGGGACUGAGACACGGGCCAAACUCCUACGGGAGGCAGCAGUAGGGGAAUCUUUCCACAAUGGACGCAAAGUCUGAUGGAGCAAAACGCCGCGUGAGUGAAGAAGGGUUUCGGCUCGUAAAAGCUCUGUUGUUGGUGAAGAAGGACAGGGGUAGUAACUGACCCUUUGUUUGACGGUAAUCAAUUUAGAAAGUCACGGGCUAACUACGUGCCCAGCAGCCGCGGUAAAU